Dermacentor silvarum is the source of this 3525-nucleotide long non-coding RNA. RefSeq lists it as uncharacterized. The transcript has 3 exons. The record is from RefSeq and is a predicted model, not a curated record. Lineage: Eukaryota; Metazoa; Arthropoda; Arachnida; Ixodida; Ixodidae.
AAAAAGACAUGAGGUGUCUGCCAUACUAUCUAUGUGGCUAAUAAGCAGAUGGAGAGCUGUGUGGCCACCAUAUAAGAACUCUCACAGAAUGUCAUUGGCGAUAAAAAGCUAGGAAAUUCCAACGACCGCUUGGGAAGAACUUGGCUGUCGUGUGCUGUGCGAGUUGUGGUAAGCUAUACAUUCAUAGAAAUUGGUUCUUGCACUGUAACAUUAACUUCGUUUCUGAGGUGCUUUAUCCCAUGUUUUCCUUUUUUUUUUUUUUUUUGCAGACACUGAUAAUGUAGCACGAGGAAAAGAGCAGCUGGCUGCAUUGGACCUGGUGAAUGAAGAUGGCAGGAACCAGCACAGAAGGCAGCGACGGCAUGCUGCAAGAUAAAUUUUUUCAGAUGAGCAGAGUGUGUCUGGUGCAGACAAUGGUGGCUUUUUACAAGGCUCAGAGGAAACUUUUCCAACACACUCAUGUCUGCAAGCAAGCUUCGCUCCCUCUCGUGAGCCUCUAGUCCUGCUAAUAUUACCAGUAGCCGCUCGACUGAUGUGCCUUUCACGGUGAUGACCUCUGAGGACUCUGGGUCUUCAGCCAUGCCUACAUUAUCAGUGAAAGGUAAAACUUGCUGAAAGGGAUUCGCAGAAGUGAGUAGAAGGAGCAUUAGCUGUCUGUACAUGUACUGCCAUCUGUAUAUUCUUACAAAUAAAUGUAACGGCUGAUUACUUUUUAAUGACAAAAUGGAACCACCUUGUUUCACUGCUGAGUUGCAUGUGGGCUCACUCAGCUGCCAACAGCUCCUGUAGCAGUUGUGGUAAAAUACUAACUCAAAUUUAGUGAGUAGGUAUUGUAUCUUUUAUUGUGCAUUAAUUAAGAAGUUUAGAAACUCUUAUUGCCAUUCAUUAGUAUUGAAGGAAAUCUAGUUGUCUUCUCUGAUAUGCUAAUGUGAAACAUUGUUUUGCUUUCAGAAGAAAAUUCUGAAGGCGUUUGAGGAGAUGAGAGCAGAGCUCUCGGCACAGGGAGGCAUUUUAAAGAAGUUGGAAGUGUUGUACUUGCUGUAAACACAUGCCCCAGAGUUCCAGACCUGUCUUGAAAAUUGAAAAUUGCUUUUAUUUUUCCCAAACAACAAAAUUGGGGAUAGGACCAUAGACUAAAAGCUACAAAAGUGUAGCUUGAGUGCAUCUGAGGCCCAACAUAAGUAAAUACAUGGCAGAGAAACAAAAACGCAGUCAACAAUCAGUCAUAACAUGAUACAUACACACAUGAUUACAUUCAAACAAAAUAUCAAUUGAAAGAGCCAACAUUCAUAUAUAUGGCAAUAAAAUGUUUCAACAUCUGAAAACAGUCACAAGAAUCCGAAAUUUCUGAAUACAAGUUGUAAUAAAUGAAAUAUUCUAGAAGUCCCUUGUGAACAAUUUACAUAAAACAAAAGUUAUAUACGGGACAUUACAAGAUAUCGCCUAAAUUCUUUAAGUGUGAGGGUAAAUAUAGUACUUUAAUUCGUUUCGUAUGUAUUUAGUAUCAAUGGGAUAAGGAAUUGCAAAGUUUGAUCACCAUAGUUCAUUCUGGUUCGAGGAACAGUCCACUUUACAGCACAUCUAGUACGAACAACUUUGUCCGUUGGCAGCAGUGUCUUUGAUGUACUACCAUUGACAUCCCAUGGAGGGUUGCAGGAGCUCGAGAGUCAACUCUCUACUGCCUAGAGUAGGAAUAACCUUGUAAGUUUUAUCUUAUGUUUAUUAUUGUUUGAAGUUAGCAUUGGGCACUCAUUUUUAAUGAAUUUCAGCCAUAUAAUAGAAUUCACUGGCAUUGUGGCUGUCAUGUUGGUAGUACUACUUGCAUGGUAAAAGCCUGUGCCUUUAAUCGCUCUGUUUAUAUAUGGCUUGCCUCCAGCAGCAGGAAAUGCUGUGAAUAAGGUUCAAAGGUAGCAUUUGUGGUAUUAUAUGCCUUAUUUGCAUACAUAUGCUGAAUAUUUUACCUGUAAAAUGAUUAUGUACAUAUGGUCAUUGAUGCCUACUGCCUAUCCAUUUUACUGGUCAUUGAUGCCUGUCCAUUUUACUGAAUGUAGCCUGCAAAACUGGCAAAAAUGACUUAAAUGAUUGCAUUGUCCAUUUUCAUUAGUGCCCUUGCGACAUAGCAAGUUAUUAGGCACUUGCUCGGUUUUAUGCUGUAGUAAGAAUAAUAUGCUGCUAUAGCGGUCUUUUAUAAUGUUUUUGUUCUUAGGUUUCCUGCCUGCCAACAGUAGGACGAUCGUCCUUGCGGGAUGCCCUGCGCUGCAUAAUGCGGUGGUGCAUGCGAGACAGUUUUGCCCAAGGGUUUAGCAUGAUGGGGAGGAAAGGGUGGAAACCAUUCAUGGGCCUCCACCUUCUCAGUGUUAUGACUGGCAAGCCAGCUAAAGCAUUUAUUUUUUUCUCCUGUUUUCUGCAGGUAUAUCAUACCUGCCAACUCUACCAAUCUGUCUGGGAGACUCCCAAUUGUAUGGACACGGCCAUAAGCUUCUCGAAAAACUGCCCCAGCUCACUGAAAAAAAUGAAAUAAAGAGAAAGACAGAAAAAUACAUGCCAUGCAGCACAGCCGCAUCCUUAAUUGCCAUUAUAUGCUAGGUAACUAGCCUAAGUCGGAUUUAAAUCCAAGCCAUUAGUUUGUAGGCAUUGUAGGCCUAAUUCAGUUCACUUCAGAUCAAGACUUGCAGUGAGAGCUGCUUAAGAGUCAAAGGUCUAAUAUGCGUUGCACAAUGACCGGUUUCCUGAAGUCAGCUUCACUGCUCUAGAAGCCUGUAAUUUGGCGAAGCAAAUAAGAGAGGAAAGGGGCCACUGUAACGGGACAUUGUAUGUGUUCCUUAAUUAUACCUGCGUGCAUGCGCGCCGUCUCCGGUCACAUUAAGAACCUCAAGACGUGUGAUAACUAUAGUGGCAGACAUUAUAAUGAGCUGUUUCUGAUGUUGCUGUGAUACUCAAAAAAAAAAAAAAAAGAAAUCUAAUUGUUUUUUUUUUACGUAACAGAUCAUGUUAGCUAAACGAGACACCUCACAUCCAGCCUCAAAGCUUGGUGACACCUUGUUCUUAAGCCGGUGCUGUUGUGCCUGCCUUAACUGAAAUUAACAGUCGAACCUUGUUAUAGCAUUGCACACAGGCAAAUUAAAUUAUGGCUUAUGUACUGAAUCACCUAGAGAGAAAUUAACUGCUGGGGAUAAUUUCAAUUAAUUUGACCUGCACAUGUAUGAAUAUGAGGCAUAGGCAGUUCUAAAAAAUUUGGGAUUUAAAUAAAUUGUGAAAUAUUUGAAACAUUUGUGAGUGUAAAAUCUAAAUCUGGUUCCACGGUAUUGUAUUUGAACUUUUCAGAGGCAGCAAAGAACUUCCCUGAUGCCACCGACAUGAUGCUGCGAUCAUAUGCUGCUGAUUGGCAGUGUUGCACUCCAUCAAGGAUUCAGAGAAGCGUUGGAGUGCACUGGAGGAUGCCAGCUGUGCCGAGUAGUGUAUAGAAUAAAUCGGUUUUGGAGCAGAGCAUUCAGAAACAAUAAAGUGACUUUUUCCAUGCAAGUA